AGAGGUGCUUGCACCUUUCAAGUGAGUGGCGAACGGGUGAGUAACACGUGGAUAACCUACCUCAAGGUUGGGGAUAACAUUUGGAAACAGAUGCUAAUACCGAAUAAAACUUAGUAUCGCAUGAUACCAGGUUAAAAGGCGCUAUGGCGUCACCUAGAGAUGGAUCCGCGGUGCAUUAGUUAGUUGGUGGGGUAAAGGCUUACCAAGACAAUGAUGCAUAGCCGAGUUGAGAGACUGAUCGGCCACAUUGGGACUGAGACACGGCCCAAACUCCUACGGGAGGCUGCAGUAGGGAAUCUUCCACAAUGGGCGAAAGCCUGAUGGAGCAACGCCGCGUGUGUGAUGAAGGCUUUCGGGUCGUAAAGCACUGUUGUAUGGGAAGAACAGCUAGAAUAGGGAAUGACUUUAGUUUGACGGUACCAUACCAGAAAGGGACGGCUAAAUACGUGCCAGCAGCCGCGGUAAUACGUAUGUCCCGAGCGUUAUCCGGAUUUAUUGGGCGUAAAGCGAGCGCAGACGGUUGAUUAAGUCUGAUGUGAAAGCCCGGAGCUCAACUCCGGAAAGGCAUUGGAAACUGGACAACUUGAGUGCAGUAGAGGUAAGUGGAACUCCAUGUGUAGCGGUGGAAUGCGUAGAUAUAUGGAAGAACACCAGCGGCGAAGGCGGCUUACUGGACUGUAACUGACGUUGAGGCUCGAAAGUGUGGGUAGCAAACAGGAUUAGAUACCCUGGUAGUCCACACCGUAAACGAUGAACACUAGGUGUUAGGAGGUUUCCGCCUCUUAGUGCCG
This 791-nucleotide ribosomal RNA is filed under the name Leuconostoc gelidum. Its description in RNAcentral is "bacterial SSU rRNA". It matches the Rfam family "Bacterial small subunit ribosomal RNA", at positions 72 to 848 of the family's 1533-position model. Lineage: Bacteria; Bacillati; Bacillota; Bacilli; Lactobacillales; Lactobacillaceae. The record is from RNAcentral.